GUGUCAGCAGCCGCGGUAAUACGUAUGGGGCGAGCGUUGUUCGGAAUCAUUGGGCGUAAAGGGCGUGUAGGCGGUUUUGUAAGCCCGGUGUUAAAGGUAUUGGCUUAACCAAUAUUUGGCGCUGGGUACUGCAAGACUAGAGUCCUGGAGAGGAAGCUGGAAUUCCUGGUGUAGGGGUGAAAUCUGUAGAUAUCAGGAAGAACACCGAUGGCGGAGGCAAGCUUCUAGCCAUGGACUGACGCUGAGGCGCGAAAGCGUGGGGAGCAAACAGGAUUAGAUACCCCGGUAGUCC
This 292-nucleotide ribosomal RNA is filed under the name uncultured bacterium. Its description in RNAcentral is "partial 16S ribosomal RNA". It matches the Rfam family "Bacterial small subunit ribosomal RNA", at positions 505 to 796 of the family's 1533-position model. The record is from RNAcentral.